GAUUCACUCACCUUGACCACCACGGUCUGUGUAUGGAAACAAACACACAUCACGGUAUGUAACACUUGAAGCUAAUUAGCACCUUGGGGCAAGUUGUUUACAAACAGAAAACAAUAAGGAACAUGACAUAUAUCCCCAGCAGUGCACUGUGCGCUACUAAUCCCAAAGUCAGCCAGAUCUUUUUCUUUGCUAUGUCUUUGGCCUUUCCCAUUUUUAAAGGAAUGAAUCAUACUCAGAGAAUCUGCUCAAAAGUUGCCCUAAGCACCAUUUUGGCAAGGUCUGGGUAAGACAUUUUCAUGUCCAAGGCGAAGGGCAAGACUGUACCCUCUCCCCUUUCUACAUACAGAAGCCAACAUACAGAUAGCACUCCCACACGCCCAAGGAAGAGAAGAAGGUACCUUGUAUUGUGAUGAGUCAGACCAUUGAUUCAUCUAACUCAGUGAUGUCUACACUGACUGGCAGUGGCACUCCAGGGUUUUAGACAGGGGACAUUCCCAGCCCUCCCUGGAGAUGCCAGGGAUUGAACCAAGGACCACUUUCGUGCAGAUCUCUAGCUAUGGGCCAUGCUGGCUGGGGCUGAUGGGAAUUGGAGUCCCAAAUUGCCCGGAGGGCCACAGGUCAGCCAUGCUUGGGCUACACCUCUACAGGCUUUACCCAGGCUAUGACUUGCUCUUUGAGAUACAUGAUGGGACACAGGACCACAGGAAGUUAUCUUAUAACAAGUCAGAUCAUUAGUCUAUGUUCAGUGUUGUCAACACUGACUGGCAGCAACUUUCCAGGGUUUCAGAUGGAGGGCAUUCCCAACUCCAGCUAACAUUGUGGGGAAUCGAAUUUGGGACCUUCUGCAUGCAAAGCAUGUUCUCUACCACUGAGCUGUGGCCACUCCAGGACAGCCCAAAAUGCAAGCGAGUUAACAUAUAAGACUGCAUACCCCAAUGUAUGUUGGACAGAUAAUAGGGUCACUGUGGGCUUCACAAUCUGGUCAAGGGAGAAAGGCACUGAUUGACACUUUGCCUAGGCUAACUUUGCUCUGCUACAUGAGCAGUCGCUGUUCUGUGGAAUAACAUUUUCUUCAUAGCUGCCAAUUCAGAACCCAAAAUGCACAUAUGAGACUUGUUUUUUUAAAAAAACCACAACUAACUGCAUCAAGCUCUAAACCUUAACAGAGGGCAAUUUGCUUCUAUUUGAAUCUAGAACUGUCACUUUUCAUUCCAGUUUUAAAAGGAUGCAUUGCAACAAGAACGAUCCCUUCAGAGUAUGAUGACAAGAGCUGAAGUAACUUUUGCACACAUUUGCAGCCUGAACACCAGCACUGAAAAUCAAUCCUCCUUACCUAAGCUAUAAGGAGGCAGUGGCAGGACAAAUGAGUAGAGAGGAA
Non-coding RNA from Podarcis lilfordi (Lilford's wall lizard), 1378 nucleotides. The record is from the annotation of a GenBank genome assembly. NCBI's taxonomy places the organism in Eukaryota, Metazoa, Chordata, Lepidosauria, Squamata, Lacertidae.